AACGAACGCUGGCGGCAUGCCUAACACAUGCAAGUCGAACGAGACCUUCGGGUCUAGUGGCGCACGGGUGCGUAACGCGUGGGAACCUGCCCUUAGGUUCGGAAUAACUCCCCGAAAGGGGUGCUAAUACCGGAUAAUGUCUUCGGACCAAAGAUUUAUCGCCUUUGGAUGGGCCCGCGUUGGAUUAGCUAGUUGGUAGUGUAAAAGCCUACCAAGGCGACGAUCCAUAGCUGGUCUGAGAGGAUGAUCAGCCACACUGGGACUGAGACACGGCCCAGACUCCUACGGGAGGCAGCAGUGGGGAAUAUUGGACAAUGGGCGAAAGCCUGGUACAGCCAUGCCGCGUGAGUGAUGAAGGCCUUAGGGUUGUAAAGCUCUUUUACCCGGGAUGAUAAUGACAGUACCGGGAGAAUAAGCUCCGGCUAACUCCGUG
RNAcentral lists this ribosomal RNA (433 nucleotides) under uncultured bacterium. Its description in RNAcentral is "partial 16S ribosomal RNA". It matches the Rfam family "Bacterial small subunit ribosomal RNA", at positions 29 to 507 of the family's 1533-position model. The record is from RNAcentral.